Molecule: ribosomal RNA, 301 nt
Filed under: uncultured bacterium
Lineage: Bacteria
Description: partial 16S ribosomal RNA
Rfam family: Bacterial small subunit ribosomal RNA
Source: RNAcentral
CAGUCGCCGCGGUAAUACGAAGGGGGCUAGCGUUGCUCGGAAUCACUGGGCGUAAAGGGUGCGUAGGCGGGUCUUUAAGUCAGAGGUGAAAUCCUGGAGCUCAACUCCAGAACUGCCUUUGAUACUGAGGAUCUUGAGUUCGGGAGAGGUGAGUGGAACUGCGAGUGUAGAGGUGAAAUUCGUAGAUAUUCGCAAGAACACCAGUGGCGAAGGCGGCUCACUGGCCCGAUACUGACGCUGAGGCACGAAAGCGUGGGGAGCAAACAGGAUUAGAUACCCCGGUAGUCCCUGUCUCUUAUAA